This 80-nucleotide transfer RNA is filed under the name Roseateles terrae. RNAcentral describes it as "tRNA-Arg". Lineage: Bacteria; Pseudomonadati; Pseudomonadota; Betaproteobacteria; Burkholderiales; Sphaerotilaceae. The record is from RNAcentral.
GUGCUCAUGGGAGCUUGCGGUCGACUUGCAUUUGCCUUCUAAGCAGCAGGUCGGGGGUUCGAGUCCCUCCGGGCAGGCCA